CCUGUGUGGAGUUUUUGUGGCAAGCCUCAACAUUGGGGAGUAUCCAUCUUGACUGAAAGCCUCAGCACUGGAAAAGGCUGGAGGCCGCAUGGAGACAACUGGAAAGUUAAAUCUGGGUUGUGGUGGGAGUACUUACAACAUGUAGAACACGGGUCCAAGCAGUCAAGCAAGCUGUUCUAGCCAGACCUAGGAUCUGAACUACAGGAUGUAUGCUGCUUCCCAUGCUUCUUGAUCCAGGAGCUCUGAACUGACUCAAAGCUGUGCUCAUGGGACUCAUGGCCAAGUUGCAGAUCCCAGCUGAGGGACAGAAAGGGUUAUGAUUUAUGACUUCAAUCCAAUUUAUGGCCAUUUACAAGAAUGCUGAACUGGCUGUAAAUCAGUAAGAGACCAUAAAAUACUCAUGAGAGCUGCUGAAAUCCAUCUGGGUGAGCUUCCUUCCCUCCCAAGAGCAGCCAGAUGAGGGCAGGAAGAUGUAGGCCUCCCAUCAAGCCUCGCAGCAGCAAUAGGGCGUGGGGAUGUGAUGAAGUGCUUGGAUGGAGGAAAGGGCAAAGGCAAAGAAGGCUUGUUUUGAGGGCAUGUGAAAGGCAGAUGAGCCGUUGCCGAAGAACUGCUCUGCAAGACUUCAAUGGAGGAGUUUCACCCAAAAGCAAGGCCCACCUGGAUUCCAUAGCAGCCAGUGAUUUUCUGAAGGAUUGCGGGGGCAAUAUAAAGAGAAAAAUGGCAACAGACUACUCCACUUCUAAUGACAUCAUGUGAUUUGAAUCUGACGCUGGUGGGACACUUUGAGGAGCUACCAUCAAUUCCUUCAAAUCCUUCUUUCUCCUUGCCUUCCCUCUGGGCUCAGAAUACUGGGCUGAAAAAAAACCACACAAAAAGAUACCACAGAAGUAGCUAUUGCCCAGGAACUGAGCAGGAAAUCCUUCAUUUCCACCUCUAGCCCUGGAAUAUUAUCUGACAAGCACAAGAAAAAUAAGGUGAGUUAAAAUUACUCCUUUACUAAUUAGCGAGAUUUUCAAAGUUACAUAAUCCACACGACCUCCAGUGAGUCUGUAAAUAUGCUGGAGAGCUUCCACGGUUUCCAAAGUGAACUGAAGCACUGUCUACAUCAAUGUAAUUACAUCAAUACAGUGCCCAUUUUCUUAAUGUGGAAAGUGCUUUGCUGUCCUUUCAGGAUGAAUUUUGCAUAAAGAUCUUCCUUGAGGGAAAGCACAACAAAUGUGGAGUUUGUAGACUUAGGUGACAUAGUUUGUUUUCUUCUGUUCUGUGAGAAACAUUUGAAGAUUUUUAAAAGAAACUAGAAAAAAACCUUUUGUUACUUUUUACAAGACUUCUAAAAAGGUUUUCCAAAUGACAUGUAAUUUUCCCCUAGAAGCAUUUUCCUCUGACAACUGAUCUAGUCAUGCUGCAUUUCAGGAAGAAAAGGUGUUUAUUGAGAAACUCAGACACAAUUAAAAAUUGAAAUGCGAAUGGAAAAUCACCGUUCUACCUUGAACAUUCUGAGUCACCAUAUGUGUAGGUUCUCUAUAUUACCUGCAGGGUAGAGAAGAUUUUGCCUGUCACUUCUUCAGAGGCUAUAAGGGAGGAUUCAGAAAUAUGAAGCAUUAGGAUCUAGUGCAUUCCAGUUUUACUUCUCCUCCAGGACUUGUGCUACAAAAGAGAGGUACAGCCAGAACAUGGCCCUGCCACCUGAACAUGCUAGAGCUGGGAUUGACAGGCAGAGCAGGCUUUGGUUAAAUGAUUAUGUUUUUUGGUAAUCAUCUGACCUCUAAAUCAUAAGGUACUUGCAUUCACACAGCAUGAACCAGAGAGCAGUAAAACAUGUUUCCACUGUCAUUCUUUCAUAGGUAGGUGAGCAGCUCUGACAUGAAACUGUCUUUGAUAUUAUUGAUAACAGAGGGUGUUGUGGAAGAUGUUUAUUUUUUCAGCAAUCCCAGCAAAUGGUGCUGAUUAUUGUGAACUGAACCAUAGUAAACUGUUAGCUACCGUUCCUGGAAAGCGUUAUGCUCUCCUUGUUUUCCCUCUUGCAGCUCACUAUCAGCUCAUCUUCACUUAGUGAAGAGUUGGUGAAGGUCAUAUUUUUCCAAAAGAGAUUGUUUCCAGUUGCAUUCAAGUUGUUAGGUAUUUCCUUCCUCCCUUUCUCAAUUUCAAAACAAGUGAACAUCAUACCUCUAAGAUCACUGACUAUGAUAGCUUGAACUGGACUCUUCCAGGUAUGCCUGAGUGGCCUGUUUUUCACGGUCAUUCAUAUCUGUCAACUUAGAUAACAGUAUAAAAAAACUUCUUGAAUAGUUUUUGUGUUGUAGUAACCAAAGAAUAUAUGCCAGACGUUCCUCCAGA
Non-coding RNA from Coturnix japonica (Japanese quail), 2337 nucleotides. The record is from RefSeq and is a predicted model, not a curated record. Lineage: Eukaryota; Metazoa; Chordata; Aves; Galliformes; Phasianidae.